This 373-nucleotide ribosomal RNA is filed under the name uncultured organism. RNAcentral describes it as "partial 16S ribosomal RNA". It matches the Rfam family "Bacterial small subunit ribosomal RNA", at positions 527 to 896 of the family's 1533-position model. The record is from RNAcentral.
GGAGGGGGCUAGCGUUGUUCGGAAUUACUGGGCGUAAAGCGCGCGUAGGCGGGCUGGUCAGUUGGGGGUGAAAUCCCGAGGCUCAACCUCGGAACUGCCCCCAAUACUACCAGUCUUGAGUUCGAGAGAGGUGAGUGGAAUUCCUAGUGUAGAGGUGAAAUUCGUAGAUAUUAGGAAGAACACCAGUGGCGAAGGCGGCUCACUGGCUCGAUACUGACGCUGAGGCGCGAAAGCGUGGGGAGCAAACAGGGAUUAGAUACCCUGGUAGUCCACGCCGUAAACGAUGGGUGCUAGUUGUCGGGCGGCAUGCCGUUCGGUGACGCAGCUAACGCGUUAAGCACCCCCGGCCCUGGGGACUACGGUCGCAAGACUA